AUUGAACGCUGGCGGCAUGCCUUACACAUGGCAAGUCGAACGGCAGCACGGGAGCAAUCCUGGUGGCGAGUGGCGAACGGGUGAGUAAUAUAUCGGAACGUGCCCAGUCGUGGGGGAUAACGUAGCGAAAGCUACGCUAAUACCGCAUACGAUCUAUGGAUGAAANCGGGGGAUCGCAAGACCUCGCGCGAUUGGAGCGGCCGAUAUCAGAUUAGGUAGUUGGUGAGGUAAAAGGCUCACCAAGCCGACGAUCCGUAGCUGGUCUGAGAGGACGACCAGCCACACUGGGACUGAGACACGGCCCAGACUCCUACGGGAGGCAGCAGUGGGGAAUUUUGGACAAUGGGCGCAAGCCUGAUCCAGCAAUGCCGCGUGCAGGAUGAAGGCCUUCGGGUUGUAAACUGCUUUUGUACGGAACGAAACGGUGAGCUCUAAUACAGUUUGCUAAUGACGGUACCGUAAGAAUAAGCACCGGCUAACUACGUG
This 486-nucleotide ribosomal RNA is filed under the name uncultured bacterium. RNAcentral's name for it is "bacterial SSU rRNA". It matches the Rfam family "Bacterial small subunit ribosomal RNA", at positions 30 to 507 of the family's 1533-position model. The record is from RNAcentral.